Molecule: transfer RNA, 73 nt
Filed under: Marsupiomonas sp. NIES 1824
Lineage: Eukaryota; Viridiplantae; Chlorophyta; Pedinophyceae; Marsupiomonadales; Marsupiomonadaceae
Description: tRNA-Val
Rfam family: tRNA
About the family: Transfer RNA (tRNA) molecules are approximately 80 nucleotides in length.
Source: RNAcentral
AGAUCUGUAACUCAGUUGGUAGAGUGGCUGCCUUACAAGCAGUACGUCAUCGGUUCGAGUCCGGUCAGAUCUA